Macaca fascicularis (crab-eating macaque) is the source of this 148-nucleotide unclassified non-coding RNA. It matches the Rfam family "Metazoan signal recognition particle RNA". From Rfam's summary of the family: The signal recognition particle (SRP) is a universally conserved ribonucleoprotein. It is involved in the co-translational targeting of proteins to membranes. The record is from Ensembl. Lineage: Eukaryota; Metazoa; Chordata; Mammalia; Primates; Cercopithecidae.
GCUGGGCAUGGUGGUGCAUGCCUGUGGUCCCAGCUGCUCAGGAGGCUGAGGUGGGAGGAUAGCUUGAGCUCAGGAGGUCAAGGCUGCAGUGGGCUGUGAUCGUGCCACUGCACUCUAGCCUGGGUGACAGAGUAAGACCCUGUCUCAA